This 253-nucleotide ribosomal RNA is filed under the name uncultured bacterium. RNAcentral describes it as "partial 16S ribosomal RNA". It matches the Rfam family "Bacterial small subunit ribosomal RNA", at positions 524 to 776 of the family's 1533-position model. The record is from RNAcentral.
UACGAAGGGGGCUAGCGUUGUUCGGAAUUACUGGGCGUAAAGCGCACGUAGGCGGGUCUUUAAGUCAGGGGUGAAAUCCUGGAGCUCAACUCCAGAACUGCCUUUGAUACUGAGGAUCUUGAGUUCGGGAGAGGUGAGUGGAACUGCGAGUGUAGAGGUGAAAUUCGUAGAUAUUGGGAAGAACACCGGUGGCGAAGGCGGCCAUCUGGACCGCAACUGACGCUGAGGCGCGAAAGCGUGGGGAGCAAACAGG